UACGUAGGGUGCAAGCGUUGUCCGGAAUUAUUGGGCGUAAAGAGCUCGUAGGCGGUCUAUCGCGUCGGAUGUGAAAACCCAGGGCUCAACCCUGGGCCUGCAUUCGAUACGGGCAGACUAGAGUUCGGUAGGGGAGACUGGAAUUCCUGGUGUAGCGGUGAAAUGCGCAGAUAUCGGGAGGAACACCAAUGGCGAAGGCAGCUCGCUGGGACGUUACUGACGCUGAGACGCGAAAGCGUGGGGAGCAAACAGG
RNAcentral lists this ribosomal RNA (253 nucleotides) under uncultured bacterium. RNAcentral describes it as "partial 16S ribosomal RNA". It matches the Rfam family "Bacterial small subunit ribosomal RNA", at positions 524 to 776 of the family's 1533-position model. The record is from RNAcentral.